UCAGCAUCCUGUCCUCUGCAGAGGCUGCAGGGGAAUUCCUGCUCCAAUGCCUGAGCUGUUGUAAGCCUAAGAUGCAGCUAAAGGCAUCCUCAAGACGAUCUUAGCAUAGCAUCCACGAUUAAUUAAACCCCACAAAAACUAAGAUGCAAACUGGGAUUAGAUACCUCACUAUGCCUCGCCCUAAAUCUUGAUACUUACCCUACCAAAGUAUCUGCCUGAGAAGCACGAGCACAAAUGCUUAAACCUGUAAGGACUUGGUGGUGCCCCAAACUCACCUAGAGGAUACUGUUCUAUAAUUGGUAAUCCCAUGAUACACCCAACUGGUCCUUGCCAGGACAGCCUACAUACUGCCGUCACUAGCUCACCUCUCCUGAGAGUGUAACAGUAUACUAGCCCUAACCCUGCUAACAAGACAGCUCAAGGUAUAGCUCAUGGGGCGAAAGAAAUGGGCUACAUUUUCUAAAAUAGAAAACUUCACAGGAGGGGAUGUGAAAUCAUCCCUAGAAGGCAGAUUUAGCAGUAAAGCGGGAAAAUAGAGCCCCUUUAAGUCGGCCCUGGGCACAUACAUACUGCUGUCACCCUUCUCACAAGCUAUAAGCCCUCGUAGCUAAUGCACAUAUCAGCUGAAGAUGGGGUAAGUCCUAACAAGGUAAGUGUCCCAGAAGGUGUACUUAGCUAUAACCUGAA
RNAcentral lists this non-coding RNA (687 nucleotides) under Nipponia nippon (crested ibis). Lineage: Eukaryota; Metazoa; Chordata; Aves; Pelecaniformes; Threskiornithidae. The record is from Rfam by way of RNAcentral.